This 636-nucleotide ribosomal RNA is filed under the name uncultured Oscillibacter sp. Its description in RNAcentral is "bacterial SSU rRNA". It matches the Rfam family "Bacterial small subunit ribosomal RNA", at positions 897 to 1533 of the family's 1533-position model. Lineage: Bacteria; Bacillati; Bacillota; Clostridia; Eubacteriales; Oscillospiraceae. The record is from RNAcentral.
AAACUCAAAGGAAUUGACGGGGGCCCGCACAAGCGGUGGAUUAUGUGGUUUAAUUCGAAGCAACGCGAAGAACCUUACCAGGACUUGACAUCCUACUAACGAGGUAGAGAUACGUCAGGUGCCCUUCGGGGAAAGUAGAGACAGGUGGUGCAUGGUUGUCGUCAGCUCGUGUCGUGAGAUGUUGGGUUAAGUCCCGCAACGAGCGCAACCCUUAUUGUUAGUUGCUACGCAAGAGCACUCUAGCGAGACUGCCGUUGACAAAACGGAGGAAGGUGGGGACGACGUCAAAUCAUCAUGCCCCUUAUGUCCUGGGCUACACACGUAAUACAAUGGCGGUCAACAGAGGGAUGCAAAGCCGUGAGGUGGAGCGAACCCCUAAAAGCCGUCUCAGUUCGGAUCGCAGGCUGCAACUCGCCUGCGUGAAGUCGGAAUCGCUAGUAAUCGCGGAUCAGAAUGCCGCGGUGAAUACGUUCCCGGGCCUUGUACACACCGCCCGUCACACCAUGAGAGUCGGGAACACCCGAAGUCCGUAGCCUAACAGCAAUGAGGGCGCGGCCGAAGGUGGGUUCGAUAAUUGGGGUGAAGUCGUAACAAGGUAGCCGUAUCGGAAGGUGCGGCUGGAUCACCUCCUUUAUG